This is a long non-coding RNA of Neodiprion fabricii, 967 nucleotides long. RefSeq lists it as uncharacterized. The transcript has 2 exons. NCBI's taxonomy places the organism in Eukaryota, Metazoa, Arthropoda, Insecta, Hymenoptera, Diprionidae. The record is from RefSeq and is a predicted model, not a curated record.
AAUCUCGAAAACUGCAGCACAUCGAACGAAACAAAAUGAAUUCAACGCGUGAAGGUUUGGGUACUUCAACCCACAGAUUCACCAAACUGGAAUUUUUCCAUAACAUAAAAAGUAUUUCGAAAGAUGACAUCUCAGUUAUUCAUGCGAGAACCGAAAAAUUUUUAUCCGACAAACAAGCUUUACCAUACUUUUUGUCAGAUGACGAUAAAAGGAUAAUAUCCGAUUUGGUGUCCAAGCUGAGGACAAAAUGGAAUGUCAGUAAUAGAACAGAGGUGAAUUUUGACAAGAAAAAUCAUGAUUGGUUGCAGAAAUCUGUUGAACUAACAAAAAUAUAAAAAGCACAGAUUUAGAAACAACAGAAACUGAUGAAAAGCAGCCCAAGGCAGGUCGGCCACAACUCAGUUUUGCAGAGUCCUCUGCACGAAGUAAACGCAGAAGAACAGAACAUUCACGAACGUCAACAUCAACGGAAGAAAUCCUUUAUUCUGUAACAAGUGAAUUGCGGUAUGAAAGAAAAACUGAUUUUGCAAAAGUGGUGCAUGAUAUUUCACAAGGGAGUCCUACUAAAGCUACAAAGUAUAUCAAAUCUCUGGACAUCGUAAUCACUAAUCUACCUUUCACAAAUGACGAGGCUUUAUCGUUGUUCAUAGAACUUGGUUUAUCACAAAGUAAAUAUCAGUAGCUGCGUGAUGCUCAUUUGCAAAAAAAAUUAAAGAUGCUUCCAUCAUAUGAAAAGCUACGUAUAGCAAAAUUACAAUGUUAUCCAGCUUCAGGUCUUACUAUUACUGCAAAUGAAGCUGAAGUGGAGUUAAAACCUUUAUUAGAUUACACAAUCGAACGUAUCAUUCGUUAUCAAAUGGAAGUUAUGAAAACAUUAUCAGAGAUUAAACUCGCAAAUUUAACUUUAAUUGGUGAGUGGGGCUGCGAUGGUAGUUCAGGACAUAGUGAAUAUAAGCAAAUGGUCGAU